RNAcentral lists this ribosomal RNA (412 nucleotides) under uncultured bacterium. Its description in RNAcentral is "bacterial SSU rRNA". It matches the Rfam family "Bacterial small subunit ribosomal RNA", at positions 29 to 437 of the family's 1533-position model. The record is from RNAcentral.
AUUGAACGCUGGCGGCGUGCUUAACACAUGCAAGUCGAUCGGUAACAGGUGUAGCAAUACAUGCUGACGAGAGGCGGACGGGUGAGUAAUGCUUGGGAAUCUGCCGUAUUAGUGGGGGACAACCCGGGGAAACUCGGGCUAAUACCGCAUACGCUCUACGGAGGAAAGCCGGGGACCGCAAGGCCUGGCGCUAAUAGAUGAGCCCAAGUCGGAUUAGCUAGUUGGUAGGGUAACGGCCUACCAAGGCGACAAUCCGUAGCUGGUCUGAGAGGACGACCAGCCACACCGGAACUGAGACACGGUCCGGACUCCUACGGGAGGCAGCAGUGGGGAAUAUUGGACAAUGGGGGCAACCCUGAGUCCAGCGACGCCCGCGUGGGUGAAGAAGGCCUGCGGGUUGUAAAGCCCUUUC